GGACGGUUAGCUCAGUUGGUAGAGCACAGCAUUCACAUUGCUGGGGUCACAGGUUCGAGCCCUGUACCGUCCA
RNAcentral lists this transfer RNA (73 nucleotides) under Candidatus Lloydbacteria bacterium RIFCSPHIGHO2_02_FULL_50_11. Its description in RNAcentral is "tRNA-Val". It matches the Rfam family "tRNA". From Rfam's summary of the family: Transfer RNA (tRNA) molecules are approximately 80 nucleotides in length. Their secondary structure includes four short double-helical elements and three loops (D, anti-codon, and T loops). RNAcentral also lists the same sequence under 1 other name. The record is from RNAcentral. Lineage: Bacteria; Candidatus Lloydiibacteriota.